AUCUAAGUAGUUUAAGUAAAAUAUUGGUUUGUGGUGCCGAUGAUAUGAGAUUUUGUCUUAGAUU
Molecule: transfer RNA, 64 nt
Filed under: Odontotermes sp. E TB-2017
Lineage: Eukaryota; Metazoa; Arthropoda; Insecta; Blattodea; Termitidae
Description: tRNA-His
Source: RNAcentral